Molecule: unclassified non-coding RNA, 320 nt
Filed under: plant metagenome
Description: partial contains 5.8S ribosomal RNA, internal transcribed spacer 2, and large subunit ribosomal RNA
Rfam family: 5.8S ribosomal RNA (bases 1-105)
Source: RNAcentral
GAAAUGCGAUAAGUAAUGUGAAUUGCAGAAUUCAGUGAAUCAUCGAAUCUUUGAACGCACAUUGCGCCCGCCAGUAUUCUGACGGGCAUGCCUGUUCGAGCGUCAUUACAACCCUCAGGCCCCCGGGCCUGGCGUUGGGGAUCGGCGGAAGCCCCCUGCGGGCACAACGCCGUCCCCCAAAUACAGUGGCGGUCCCGCCGCAGCUUCCAUUGCGUAGUAGCUAACACCUCGCAACUGGAGAGCGGCGCGGCCACGCCGUAAAACACCCAACUUCUGAAUGUUGACCUCGAAUCAGGUAGGAAUACCCGCUGAACUUAAGC